This is a long non-coding RNA of Manis javanica (Malayan pangolin), 2499 nucleotides long. RefSeq lists it as uncharacterized. Lineage: Eukaryota; Metazoa; Chordata; Mammalia; Pholidota; Manidae. The record is from RefSeq and is a predicted model, not a curated record.
CAGUUGACCUCAGCCCCUCCCAGAUUGCAAAGAUGGCACCGGGCAUUCUCCUUCCUGGCCUUCAGCCCCGCCCCAGCCCCUCCACUCUCCACUCGCCUCUGUGUCUGCACUGCCAGCUGCCCUGCGAGGACGCACUGGGAGCUUAAGGAGGAGAGAAACGAAUGAACUCUGUCCCGGCAGGGAGCCUCCACUUGAAGCCAGGCCUUCCUGCCUCCAGCUUCCUGAGGGCCCACUAAUCUCCAUGGCAGAGGAAACCUGCACCCUCCUGGGAUCUCAGAUGCCCCCCAAUGUCCCAGCCCACCCCAUCUGGGCUUCCUGGAGCUCGGCCAGGGCACCAGAAACUUCUGAACCAGGGGCUGCCCCCAUGACUUCGGACCUCUGCCUCACUCUUUGGAAUGAGAAGACCAAACUUCUUCAGGACUUAGGCUGGAGGCAGAUGUCAGCCCCCAGGGGUUUACUUCCGGACCCCAGCCAGAUGCCCAAGUCACCUGGGCUUCUCAGUGCAUCAUCUCUGCUACCACUUAGACCCAAGGCCCUGUCCUGCCUCACCCGGGCCACCGCCGAUGGCCUUACAGUCCCUUGUCCCCACCACCUAGCAGCCAGAGGAUCAUUGCCGGGCACUCAGACCUCAUCUAUAAAUCUACCUUGGGUCAGACCCUCCCAGGCCCAGGCCCCUCUCCCCAGCAAUGACCACAAUUUCAGGCCAGUGGAAACCUGCUACCCUGAUGUGGGUGUCAUUGCUUAGGAAGAUUUUUAUCUACCUGAAAAUUAUGUGCUGAAGAUAAAGCAAUGGCCAAUGCAGACAAGAAUUCUGUUUUCAUGGCACUUACAUUCUAUUCAGACAUCCACUGCUCAUCCCUUAAAAAUCUGGUGAACAGAAGGUAAGCUACAAAGGACUCGAGAAUUCAAAAUGAGCUCCCGUCCCCAGCCACCCUCCAGAGGUCUCCACUUUGUCCCUACAACUGAGGACGUGGCAGGUGCACCCUCUUACCCUCUGACCCUGGGACUACUUGUCGGGCUUGCUUUCAUCUUCGCCUAAAGGUUUGUACCACUGCGAUUGCCAUUUUGCAGCCAUUCUACCACCCAGCCAGAAUCAAACCCACCCUGUGCCAUCACUUUCUCCCAGAAGCCCUCCCUGACCCCCCAAGUCCUACCCAGGCGCCCUGCCAGGGACCCUCCAGCCGUGUGGACAGUGCGGCCCAACGCGUGUCCUGCUGAGGACAGCGGCAGCCCUGGCCCCUAGCACCAUGCCCCAUGGUGCUUGCUGCCUGGAUUGUUCGGGAUCGAGGCAGGGUGCCCGCUUCCAAGGCCAGAAUCAAAUGGCCGCCUCCAGUGCUUCAGGGCACUCUUCCUCCCUGGCACACCCACACCUGAACGAUGCCGGGGCUGGGAAAUCUGCUUUGCUCUGAGGGAAGGAGCGACCCACCCCAAGGCAAGUUUUUCUCACCUCCCCCAUCUCUAUUUCCUGCCCUGACAUUUCCCUUAGCCAGACUGGCUUUUAUAUUUUAUUUUUAUUUUGGUGUUUCUGGUCCUGCUGGCCACCCAUGAGGCACAGUGUAUAAAUGCAAAGAUGCAGGAAAAUUUGCCUGAGGGAGGGAUUUCCCUACCGUGCAUCUUAGCAUCCUUGGCCUGUUAGAGCGCUUGCUCCACCUGGAGUGCUCUCCACUCGUCCUCCCCGAGGCUCAAUUCCUGCGGCCUCCUUCCAGGGCCAGCCUGGACCCCUCUAUCACCUCUUCUGCCCUUCCACUCACUGCGUCCACUGCUGCCAGGGCUGCUGCCCUCACUACACCAGUCAUCGGCUUCCUUACCCCUCCCUCCCCACCCCUCUUGCCUCCAGCAGUCUCUGGCUCUCCAAAGACAAGACAGGGUCUCCUACCCUUCAUGUAAGUAUGUGUAGGAGGGUCUGCCCCAGUGUCCAGCCUAAAGGGGAUGCUGGUGGGUGAGUCGGUGAUAUGAGUAUCCUCCAUGGAGUUGCUUUUGUCAGGCUUGCCUGCUUUCUCGCCGACCACCUCUGUGAACAUACCCCACCCUAAAAGGUUUUGUUUGUUGUCAAAUGUGUAUUUGCAAGUGUGCUGGUGAUUGCCCAAACCAGAUAACUCCGUAUGUCAGACAUGCCGGUGCACACCUGAGCUGGAUAACACCACAUGUGGACUGUCCCCCUUUAUCUUCGAUCCCUGAAUGGAUGAGCUGGACUAUAUGAGGGACCACACACAGAGCCCCUGUGGCAAGCUCGUCCCCGAGGUCCCUGACACCGGCCCACAGGUGUGUGCUCCGGGGCGGGCUCCUGCUCAUCCGCCUGUGCUCCUGCGCCAUCAUGGACGCACCACUCCACUGGAACUGUCUCCACUGCAUCGUUCUCCCCUGGGACAGAUGAGAGGCUGAUUGGGACAACCAGGACCCUGAACCAUCCAUCGUGACCAGUAUGAGAUGUACUGAUCCGUGAUAUGUGUGAUUUUUAGAUAUGCUUGAUCCCCCCUUUGAGUGUUGUGUGAAAGGAAA